GGGGACGUUACGGAUUCGACAGGGGUAGUUCGAGCUUGGACUGCGAGUCGGAGGGUCGCGUCUCCGCAUCAACGCAAACGCCUAAAUAUAACUGGCAAAAACGAAUUAGCUUUAGCUGCCUAAUUUAGCGCAGCUGCUCCUCCCGCUAUCGUCCAUGUAGUCGGGUAAGGGGCCCAAAUUUAGUGGACUACGCCGGAGUUCUCCGCCUGGGGACGAAGGAAGAGACUAAUCAGGCUAGCUGUCCGGACGCCAGUCGAUAGGCAUAAGGAACAGCGAAACUAAAAUAUAUCGACUACGCUCGUAGACGUUCAAGUGCCGUUAUCCUUGGACGUGGGUUCGAUUCCCACCGUCUCCACCA
Molecule: transfer-messenger RNA, 358 nt
Filed under: Bacillus thermotolerans
Lineage: Bacteria; Bacillati; Bacillota; Bacilli; Caryophanales; Bacillaceae
Description: Quasibacillus thermotolerans Standard tmRNA
Rfam family: transfer-messenger RNA
About the family: Bacterial tmRNA, also known as 10Sa RNA or SsrA, is named for its dual tRNA and mRNA-like properties. Its role is to liberate the mRNA from a stalled ribosome.
Source: Rfam by way of RNAcentral